CAGGGAGACAACAAAAUGUUUAAUAUUAUUAUUUUGUCACCUUAGGUCGAUCGGUAUCUCACGUUUUUAAUUUAUUAAGAAUUUCAUUUCCUAAGUUUUUCUAGGUCACACCCAUUAUUUUUCCUGGGCCAUUAGCUCAGGUGGUUAGAGCGCACCCCUGAUAAGGGUGAGGUCCCUGGUUCAAGUCCAGGAUGGCCCAUAUCUCUAUGUUGGGGGUAUAGCUCAGUUGGUAGAGCGCCUGCUUUGCAAGCAGGAUGUCAGCGGUUCGAGUCCGCUUACCUCCACUGAUUACCACCUCUUCCAUAUCCGGUAGAAAGGAAAUGUUCUGAGUUGUGAUCAAAUUCUGAAAGAAUCUAGCUUCCUAAUGAAAUCAUUAAGAUGCUGGACUCAUUGAAUUAAUUUCAUUGUUUUCAGAGAACCUUGACAACUGCAUAGAUUAUUUUUAAAGACAAUAAGCAUCUUUAAUGAUGCAGAUUUAUUAUUUGUGCGAAUGCAUUAAUAACAAUUCUAUUAAGCUGAUGCUUCAAUUUUUGAAGUUAUU
Molecule: transfer RNA, 541 nt
Filed under: uncultured Prochlorococcus sp.
Lineage: Bacteria; Bacillati; Cyanobacteriota; Cyanophyceae; Synechococcales; Prochlorococcaceae
Description: partial 16S-23S ribosomal RNA intergenic spacer
Rfam family: tRNA (bases 212-284)
Source: RNAcentral